ACAAGUUGCAGUGGUAGAAGCAGCCAUGAGUGAAGAUUAUCUAACAGAGAUUAUGGAUAAAGGAACU
This 67-nucleotide long non-coding RNA is filed under the name Phascolarctos cinereus (koala). Its description in RNAcentral is "lncRNA (ENSPCIG00000000861.2)". The record is from RNAcentral. Lineage: Eukaryota; Metazoa; Chordata; Mammalia; Diprotodontia; Phascolarctidae.